CAUGUCUUUUUGAUUUUAAUUUAAGGUUUAAUCUGCUCAAUGAUUAUUUAAAUUGCCGCAGUAUUUUAACUGUGCAAAGGUAGCAUAAUAAUUAGUUUCUUGAUUAGGGGCUGGAAUGAAUGAUUUGACGAGAAAAUUACUGUCUCUUUUUAAUUGAUAAUUGAAUUUUAUUUUUAAGUUAAAAAGCUUAAAUAUUAAUGAAAGACGAGAAGACCCUAUAGAGUUUGAUACUGAUUUUAUAUUAAUUUUUAGUAAUUUAAUUAUAAUAAAGUAUUUAGUUGGGGUGACUUGGAGAUUUAAUUAAUUCUUUAAUUUAUUUAUUGUUGAUAAAUAAAUUCGUUAUCUAUAUUUUUAAAUAUAAUAUAAAUUACCUUAGGGAUAACAGCGUUAUUUUUCUUUAGAGUUCUUAUUAAAAGAAAAGAUUGCGACCUCGAUGUUGGAUUAAAAUUUAUUUUUGGAGUAGUUGCUUUAAAAUUAGGUCUGUUCGACCUUUAAAAUUUUACAUGAUCUGAGUUUAAAUCGGUGUAAGCCAGAUUGGAUUCUAUCUUUAAUAAAAUAUACUAUUUUAGUACGAAAGGACCAAAUAUUUAUUAGAUAUUAAUUGUUAUUUUGGCAGAUUAGUGUGUUUGAUUUAGAAUCAUUUUAAGUAAUUAUUUUACAAAUAAUAUUUGAUUUUAUAUGAUUUGAUUAAGUUAACUUUAUCCUUGGUAUUAUUUGUAAUUUUAAUUUUAAUUGGAGUUGCUUUCUUUACAUUAUUAG
RNAcentral lists this ribosomal RNA (759 nucleotides) under Erotides cosnardi. Its description in RNAcentral is "partial 16S ribosomal RNA". The stretch from base 378 to 536 matches the Rfam family "Bacterial large subunit ribosomal RNA", at positions 2473 to 2632 of the family's 2925-position model. The record is from RNAcentral. Lineage: Eukaryota; Metazoa; Arthropoda; Insecta; Coleoptera; Lycidae.